AGUCGAGCGAGCUUGCCUAGAUGAUUUUAGUGCUUGCACUAAAUGAAACUAGAUACAAGCGAGCGGCGGACGGGUGAGUAACACGUGGGUAACCUGCCCAAGAGACUGGGAUAACACCUGGAAACAGAUGCUAAUACCGGAUAACAACACUAGACGCAUGUCUAGAGUUUGAAAGAUGGUUCUGCUAUCACUCUUGGAUGGACCUGCGGUGUAUUAGCUAGUUGGUAAGGUAACGGCUUACCAAGGCAAUGAUGCAUAGCCGAGUUGAGAGACUGAUCGGCCACAUUGGGACUGAGACACGGCCCAAACUCCUACGGGAGGCAGCAGUAGGGAAUCUUCCACAAUGGACGAAAGUCUGAUGGAGCAACGCCGCGUGAGUGAAGAAGGGUUUCGGCUCGUAAAGCUCUGUUGGUAGUGAAGAAAGAUAGAGGUAGUAACUGGCCUUUAUUUGACGGUAAUUACUUAGAAAGUCACGGCUAACUACGUGCCAGCAGCCGCGGUAAUACGUAGGUGGCAAGCGUUGUCCGGAUUUAUUGGGCGUAAAGCGAGUGCAGGCGGUUCAAUAAGUCUGAUGUGAAAGCCUUCGGCUCAACCGGAGAAUUGCAUCAGAAACUGUUGAACUUGAGUGCAGAAGAGGAGAGUGGAACUCCAUGUGUAGCGGUGGAAUGCGUAGAUAUAUGGAAGAACACCAGUGGCGAAGGCGGCUCUCUGGUCUGCAACUGACGCUGAGGCUCGAAAGCAUGGGUAGCGAACAGGAUUAGAUACCCUGGUAGUCCAUGCCGUANACGAUGAGUGCUNAGUGUUGGGA
This 808-nucleotide ribosomal RNA is filed under the name uncultured bacterium. Its description in RNAcentral is "bacterial SSU rRNA". It matches the Rfam family "Bacterial small subunit ribosomal RNA", at positions 60 to 828 of the family's 1533-position model. The record is from RNAcentral.